AUACAAGAUCAGGAAGUGUUCUUAUUUGUAGUAAGUUCAUUCUAUUCAAAUUAGGUAUCCUUUGGAAUAGGAAACGUUUUCAGCCAUUGUACAUUAUUGAACUUUUAUUUUGUCUACCGUGUACAAAGUACCUGUGAGAUGGGGAUACAAAGACAUUUUCCAAAUUUUGGGCUCCAGUCGAUUCUUGUGUAUUACGCUGUGAGCAAGACUUGCAUGUCGUCACAGAGAACGGGGCACUAUCCCUGAUAAAGAUUGUGGGAGUUGGCUUCCUACAGCAUCGAUCACAUGGCUUUAACCCACGAGCAAGAUGGCUGAAGCUGAAGAAUGGGCUGGAUCACAAAAAUAGAUUUUCUGUCUGAGGUUUAAUAUGCUUUCUUUCUUUCUUUCUUUCUUUCUUUUUUUUUCUGAAGACUGAGUCUAGCUCUGUCACCCAGGCUGGAGUGCAGUGGCACUAUCUCAGCUCACUGCAACCUCCACCUCUGGGUUCAAGUGAUUCUCCUGCCUCAGCCUCCCGAAUAGCUGGGAUUACAGGCACCUGCCACCAUGCCCAGCUAAUUGUUGUAUUUUUAGUAGAGACGGGGUUUCACUGUGUUGGCCAGGCUGGUCUCAAACUCCCGACCUCGUGAUCCACCUGCCUUGGCCUCCCAAAGUGCUGGGAUUACAAGCUUCAGCCACCGUGCCCGGCCAUUUAAUACACUUUCAUCAUUAUACUCAGUUUCCAGAAGGGCUUCUUGGAGUUAAGGAACAUGGGUUUGGAAAUCAAGAGAUGGGUUUGAGGCCUGAUGUAAUGGUGAUUUGAGUGUGAUUUUGAAUAAGCCAUUUUUUCCAUUAAGGAUCUCCAUUUUGUCUUUGGUAAAUCAAGAACAGUGCAACACACCAGACUUACUGCUACUGAGUCAUUUAGUUACCGCUGCAGAGCAAACCGUCCCCAAAAUCAGGGGCUUUACACAACUAUUUCUUGUUAGAGUUCACGCAAUUGCAGGUCAGCUGAGGUCUCUUGUUAGAUUUGGCUUGGCUGGGGUAGCUAUGUGAGACAACUCCGAUUCGUCUCUCAUUAAUCUCCUGGAACCAAUGGGCUAGCCUGAGAAAUGUCCUUCUCCUGGUGGUAGCUAAAACAUAAGAUCACAACAGAAACACAAGACAGCUCUUGAGGUCUAGGCACAGAUCAGGCAUAUAUUCACUCUGGUCUUAUUCUAUUGGCCAAUGUGAGUUACAUCGUUCAAAUCAGAGUCACUGCAAGGGCACAAGGCAAAGGACAUAUGUCCCAGCAUGCAUACCAGGAGGGGUGGAGAAUUGGAGCCACCCCUAAUGUACAACAUUUAGGACAACAGUUAAAAUACAAAAGUACUUUGCAAUCAAAUUUCAAAGAAGUUCAGUUAAUCAAAUUUAUGUACUCAUCUUUUACCUAAAGUUUCAGCAUUUGUAAAGUCUCUAACUGUUCAGAUCUACACUGUUUAAUUAGCUGUUCUAAUUGUUUCAGAAGUACAAUAUUUUUUCAUGACAACCACCACCACCACAGAACACCUUGCAUUUACAUGAACCAACAAAAAUCCUUGUUAUUAGAACAAAAAGGUUUUUUUUUUUUUUAAGUAGGCCGAUACAAGAUGGUCAAAGGAUAUACAAAGACAAUGUUUGCAUUUUCUUUGUCUGUUAGUAAAUUACCUGGCUGACCCCUGCUUCUGAAGAAACAGCACUUUUCUUAUUCUGUCCACAUUUGAAGAGAGGAGAUCAUUGAUACUUACUUGCCCACUCUAAUCACAAAUGCGAUAGGUCUAAUUCUCUCCACUUUGGGAUCCCUGCAUCAUUCCGGAGACAGGCACUGUACCUGGACCGGCAUGGUUAAACAUCACUCAGACAUCAGUGCACCCUCCCAUAGCUUUUAUCUCUGAGCUGAGCUCUCUGUGCACAAAGUGCUUGUGAAAGGACAGAAUGUCAAAGACAGGAACAGGUUGUGCAUUUCUAAAGAUAGCUGGAGAGAGUUUAAGCAGCAUGUAUAUUUCUAUCCUUAUUCACAGCUUGUGUAUCAAGCUUCAUAGUUAGUUAUAAGCAUUUUAUUUUAAUUAAAGAGACAAACAAUGACCCAGUGAGAGAAUUUCUUUAUUUUGAAUUUUGUAUUUUCUUCCUGCUCUCUCAGCCUGCCAUUCUGACGGUGGAGAAAUGGAUAUGGGCAGUUCAGCCACCUCACACCAUCACACUCUCUUUUGAGAGCGGUCUUGGAAACCAGCCAGAUUGCAUUGUUGUCCUUCUGUCAAUUACAAGUGUGCCAGACACCCAAAGCAUUGGGGAGGAAGUGCAAUUAUUAGAAGCUACCCAAGAGACUAUCCCAAUGUCAUCCCUGACUUGCCAGGUGACCUUUAGAAAAUCAAAUGUGUAAAAGAGGGAUGAUAAAUUGUUCUCUAGGCCAAUCAUGCAAAUGAGUAGAAACACCAAAGGAGAAAAAAGUUAGGGAAAGGAGAAUUCCAAAGAAACCAAUUUUUGUUCAUGGAAGAACUGUCUUCUAAUACAAAGAGAACCAUUCCCAAAUAAUGGGUAAAAUCCUUCCCCCAGAUAUUGGUCAUAAUUUACCAACCUACUCCUGUUCAUGUCUGUUAAUCCCAAAUGCCUUCUUCCUGCCAAAACCCAUGUAUCUAACACCUAUUUUUUCAUUUUUGGUGAAGCGUUAAUGGUUUUAUAAAAUAACUUCUAAGAUUCUUUACCCCAAUGCCAGAAAAGCCUUUAUUUUCCCUUGGACAUAGGGCUGUGGGGAUGAGAGUGAGAACAUAAAUGGGAAAGCAGAAAAAUCUAUUUAUUUAUUAUUCAUGUGUCUAUGGAUAUAGCAACUCUAUUGGCCUGGUUGUGGUCUGACACUGAAGGGAUUAUAUUUUCAGAGCAAAUAUUAAAGGGAGAAAUUAUUCUUAGUCAUCAAAGGAUUGGCCUUCUAAGAAUGUGUCCCAGUAAGAAAUACUUUGAGCUACAUAAAGAGUUGGGUAAAAAGAAAGCCAUCAUGAAUUGAACACCAACUAUACACCCACCACUUUCUUUGACAUCUUAUAUAUGUAUCAUUUAGUGAGAAACAAAAUUACUUAGAAGUUAAAAUCAAAUGCAAAAUGAAAGUCACUGGCUAAAAUUCUCUACCAUGGACAGAGCCAAUCUGGGCCUCCUUGUAUAUUGUUCUUGAAGGACCUUGGAUAAGUUAAAAUUAAAUGAAAUAUUGGACAUUAUCAACAAGGCAUUCUCUUAGAAUGAUAUGUGUCUUGCAUGUUGCCAGAUUGUGAUGAUAAUUUUAUAUGUCAACUUAACUAAGAAAAGGAAUGCCCAGAUAGCUGAUAAAAUGUUAUUUUUGGGUGUGUGUGUGAGGGUGUUUCCAGAGAAGAUCAGUAUUUUACUCAGUAGACUGAGUAAACACAGUUCUCCCUCACCAAUGUGGGCAGCCAUCAUCUUAUCCAUCGAGGGUCCAAAUGGAACAAAAAGGUAGAGGAAGGGCCAAUUAUUUCUCUCUCUUCUUGAGUUGGGAUAGCCAUGUUCUCCUGCCCUUGGACAUCAGAGCCCCUGGUUCUUGGGCCUUUGAACUCAGAGACUCACCCCAGAGCUGCCUCUCAUCCAUCCCCUACUGCUCCUCCCUGGUUCUCAGGCUUUUGGCCUUGGACAGGCAGUUACACCAUUAGCUCCCUUAACUCUCAAACCUUUGGACUUUGGCUGAAUUACACUAUUGGCUUUCCUGGUUUUCCAGCAUAGAGACAGCAUAUCUUAAAAUUUCCUGGACUCCAUAACCGUUGUGAGCCAAUUCUCAUAAUAAAUCUCCUCUUAUAUUUCUGUUAUCCCAUUGGUUACGUUUCCCUGAAGAACACUGAUUAAUAUACUGACCUUCACUCUUUACAUUUGUAUACUAAAAUAUUGUAACUCAAUUUUGAAGCUAACCACCUGGAGUUAGUGUUAGACUCCCCAUAGAUUAAAAGACACGAUCCCCAACGAGACUGCCCUCACUUCAGAUGUGAACAGCAAGUUAGAGGGUCCCCAGGCUACCUGUACUUUUGAUCAACUGGCUACAAAACUGGGAUGUUCCCAUGU
Long non-coding RNA from Homo sapiens (human), 4047 nucleotides. NCBI's taxonomy places the organism in Eukaryota, Metazoa, Chordata, Mammalia, Primates, Hominidae. The record is from Ensembl.